UGUCUAGCUUUUAUACGAAGAUAUUUCCUUUUCUACAAUUGGCCUCAAAGCGCUUGAAAUCUCCACUUGCAAAUUCCACAAAAAGUGUGUUUGAAAUCUGCUCUGUCUAAAGGAAUGUUGAACUCUGUGAGUUGCAUACACACAACACAAAGAAGUUACUGAGAAUUCUUCUUUCUAGCAUAAUAUGAAGAAAUCCCGUUUCCAACGAAGGCCUCAAAGAGGUCUGAAUAUCCACUUGUAGACUUUACAAACAGAGUGUUUCC
Molecule: long non-coding RNA, 263 nt
Filed under: Homo sapiens (human)
Lineage: Eukaryota; Metazoa; Chordata; Mammalia; Primates; Hominidae
Description: HSALNT0257658
Source: RNAcentral